UAUUUGGGGAAGAGGAAAGAAAUUGAUAUUGAAAGUGAAACGCCCAAUGCAUCAUUUCUCAAUACAAGUUCACGCUUUCGGUUCAUCUUCAAUUUCAUCAUCAAUUUCUCUUUUCUUCUCAUCUUCAAUUUUGUCUUCUCCACUUAAAACAUCUUCUUUUCCACUAAACAAAACAUCAACUUCUCCGAUGCAAUCGGUACUUGAACCAACAAUUUCUCUUUUCCCUAACCUGAGGAAGCACAUCAUCAAUUUCAUCGAUUGGAUUUCCAUGUAAUUAUUUUGUGGUGUUGAUGUGCUUAAGAUUGGAGGAGCCAAUGAAGCUGAAGUUGGUGACAAAAAUGAUACAGUAACAGAAAUUGAAGAAGAUUAAGGACUCGAGUUAGGCAGAGCAGGGAAUUGGAAGGGCUGGCGGGGAAAAUGCGAGAGAGUAAAGGAUCUGUGCUGAAAAUGUAUGAACCAGAAGAGGAAAAAUACACAGUGUUCAAAGAAGGUAUCAAAAGAUUGCUAUGAAGGAGCUAAGAGAGCGGAAAAUUCCUUUUACCAUCUUCUGGAUUGAUUUGUGCGACUGUUUUGUUGUUCGUGUUGUGAAUUAAACAAGUUAUAGAUCAGUUCCACUUUAUAGAAAAAAAUGCAGGCUACUUCGGAAUUAUCGAUUUAUAGACACGUCAAGGAGAGGAAUGGACAAACUUCAUCUGUGUGGCUUACAUGGUUGAAACAAGGAUCACGGUGGCUGGUGUUGGAGGGGAUCAGUCGCGGUUUGAUGCAAAUAUGAAGGGUGUCGCGAUUUGGUAGAAGCUCUUGGUGGCGUCAAAGUUUAUGAGAGGUGCAGUUGGGAUUUAAUCUGCGGCGGUGAUUCUGACUGAGAUCAUGAUGCAAAUUUGGAUGCAAGGAUAUUUUACUGUAGAAAAGCGAAAAGAAGAUACUUUUUUAAGGGAUAUUGUGUUUCUGCCGGUGUCGGAGCUACUCCUUAACCCUCCAAAUCCCAGGCUGAUAAAAGAGAGACCUUGAAGGCGUCGUACAUUCAUUAUGUCUUUGAAACGAGUUUAACACAGGUUUUUUCUUUUUCGUGUAUUUGUUUUUGUUACAGAGAGAAACAAUUGUUUUGAAAUUGAUUGUUUUGUUAGUCUGUCCACAAAGUGUUUAUUGAAUAGUAUGAACCAAAGCUGUAUGAACCAGACCUGGUGUGAGCAGCAAAUUCUAUCUGAGUGACUAAUAGGUGCUUUGUCGGGAGACUUAGUACUUAUUGGAUGUACAGCCUGAAUACAGAUUCAUAUACUCUGUCGGGAGCUAAGUAUGUGUAUGAAGUGUCCAUGGUCUGAUUUGAACUAUGCAUCAAUUAUAGUUCUGUGUUAUCUUCAAUUAAGCAUUAAGAAAGGCAAUGGUUGGCUGGUGAGUUGAUUCAAGAAGAAGAAACAUAUAGGAAAUGGUGAGUAUCUUGAUGGGAGCUGGAUAUUUACAUCAACUAUGUGGAAGAAGAAGAAGAAGAAGAUGUAUGUGAUGCUUUGUUUUGUAUGUUACAUCACAACACUUGAAGACACCAGUAAAGAUUAGGUUCAGACCUAUCUGUUGAAGAUAUGUUCAAGAGCUAUUUAGAAGUUUCUUCUAUUUCAAGGUACAUGAAGUGGCAGUCUGGAUCUUGUGUAGCAAGCAAACUAAGGAUUCCAAAUUUGGAAAGUGUGGCAGUUCCAAAUGAAGAAUGCUUCAGGUUAAGGACAAUUAUUCAAAACAUCCUUAUGUUGUAAUUCUCAGGGGGAUUAUGAAGUAUGACAAGACAUCAAUCAGUGUAGGUGGUGGAACACUCAGAGAUAUUGAUGAGAUUUCAAGUCUGAUAAACUAAUGUCUUGUGUGAUGUCACAACAUCACUAUAUCUUGUUGGUUUGGAAAAUUAUCUAGAAUCUAGCAUGUGAAGGAUGAAGAAGCAACAUUAAGUCUGAAGUGACCGUUCUAACUUAAUGUGGAUUAGAAUGAGCAGAUUCUGAUCUGGGUGAUGGUAACAUGUUCUGGCAAUUCGUGUUUACUUUCAUGAUGAAGACUUCAGUAGUGAGUAUGACUAUGAAGACAGAAGUUUGGUGAGAUGAUCAACAUAGUUGUGGAUAAAAAGGAUUCUUCUAAUUCUAAUUGGAGAGUAUGUUAAUCAUUAUGAGAAACAUCAUAUCAAGGAGGAUUUCAAAUUAUCUUGGCAGACCAUGAUCAGAGUGCAACUUGGUAGGGUUAUGAUCAACAAGUGGAAGAAGUGGCAGUUCUUUAUGUUGAGUCUGUGGCAACCUUUCUAUGGAAGCAUCAAGUGUCAAAGGGUUAUUUGUUGAUUAUUUCAGGUGGAGAUAAGGUGGUAGUCUUGAAUCUGUUGAAGAAAGAGAAGUGGAGUUAGUUGAAUGUACUGAACUGUUCAACUGUAUCUUAAUGUUAUACAAGAUGUUAUAACAUCUAAAUUAUGAUGUGAGUAUCUUUUGUAAAGGAGUUACUUUGUAAUAGUGAAGUGUGUCAGCUAGUUAGUUGGGCAGAGGGUGCGCUCUUGAAGAUAUGAAGAUGCGUCUUAUAUUUUCCAUUCAUCAUUACAAGUUUUCCUGUAUGAAGCACAAAUUAUCUCAGAUAGGGGGAGUGUCUUCUUAGUUCAAGAUAUAAUUCUAGAAAAUUAUCUUGGUCUGUUAUACUCUAUCAUCAUAAUGAAGGUGGUCCAAGUCAGCAGGAGCUUUUUCAACUUAGUUAGAGGAAGUUUCUUAUGAAAAGGUUUAUUUAACAAGAUGUAUCAUUACAGUCAGUUUUUUUGGGAAUGGUUGAAUCUAACCAUGUGCGUCUGGUAUCCACAAAUCUUGAACUGUUCUAGUGGCUGCAUGUCAACAAGUGUUGGAAGGCUCUUCACAGUUGCAGUAUACAGUCUCAAGGUGAUCAGAACAACAGAAGUCUAUGACUAGUGAGUCAGUAAAGGAGUAGGAGGUCUAUUACGUGGUUCAUAGGAUGCUUUGUCAAAGUCUCUUAAAGAAUCUUAAGCUAUGUGCUUGAGGGGUGAAAGAGGGACAAUGUCUGACAGGAUGUCAUGACAUAGUUAAAGACAUUGAUUCUGCAGAGUCAAACAAGGAAAAACUGCUUUGGAAAGAGUAAUUGCUUUUAGAACUGUUUCCUAAUUAAUAGUUUGACCAUUGAACAAGACCA
Vicia villosa (hairy vetch) is the source of this 3150-nucleotide long non-coding RNA. RefSeq lists it as uncharacterized. NCBI's taxonomy places the organism in Eukaryota, Viridiplantae, Streptophyta, Magnoliopsida, Fabales, Fabaceae. The transcript is spliced from 8 exons. The record is from RefSeq and is a predicted model, not a curated record.